Molecule: ribosomal RNA, 253 nt
Filed under: uncultured bacterium
Lineage: Bacteria
Description: partial 16S ribosomal RNA
Rfam family: Bacterial small subunit ribosomal RNA
Source: RNAcentral
UACAGAGGGGGCAAGCGUUGUUCGGAAUUACUGGGCGUAAAGGGCGCGUAGGCGGCCCGCUAAGUCGGACGUGAAAUCCCUGGGCUCAACCCAGGAACUGCGUCCGAUACUGGCAGGCUUGAAUCCGGGAGAGGGAUGCGGAAUUCCAGGUGUAGCGGUGAAAUGCGUAGAUAUCUGGAGGAACAUCGGUGGCGAAGGCGGCAUCCUGGACCGGUAUUGACGCUGAGGUGCGAAAGCGUGGGGAGCAAACAGG